GCAAACUUGGUCAUUUAGAGGAAGUAAAAGUCGUAACAAGGUAACCGUAGGUGAACCUGCGGUUGGAUCAUUACAGAAAUGGACGUGGCUUCGGCCCGCCUGCGUACUCACUCGAAAGGGUGCAGUGCGUGGUAAAUCCAAACAUUCUUGUGCACUGUUUUUGUCUCUGGCGGCGGGGUGAGAUUUGGCUUACGCAAGUCUGCCCAAAGCUCACCUGUCAGCCUGGCUGGGUAACCUCCAGGCCGUGGACAAACCGCCAAUUGUUCAAACAAACCUAUGCUAUCACCUUUAUUGUCUGACAUCAAUUUGUAUCUUAAUAUACAAACAACUUUUGGCAACGGAUCUCUUGGCUCUCGCAUCGAUGAAGAACGCAGC
Molecule: unclassified non-coding RNA, 375 nt
Filed under: uncultured fungus
Lineage: Eukaryota; Fungi
Description: partial contains small subunit ribosomal RNA, internal transcribed spacer 1, and 5.8S ribosomal RNA
Rfam family: Eukaryotic small subunit ribosomal RNA (bases 1-73)
Source: RNAcentral